UACAUAGUGAGAUCCUGUCUCAAAAAAUAAACAAACAAAAAUUAUGGUAAAAGAUUGAUUGUUGUGGAUUCCCCUUGGGACCCCUCUCCCGCACACAGUGUCCCUCCUCCUCGCCUCUUUCUGAGGCAGUUCUGGAGCCCUCUUUCCUGAGUGUCUUUGGUUGAGCUGUCAUGGCUGCCUUAAUGUCCUGAACUGAUUCAAAACAUUUUGACUUGGGGGAAGAGCCAGAUUCAGGGAAUAGGAUGGAAGAGGACACAGUGUGAUUUACGCGUGUGCAAGUGUGUGUGUCUGUGUGUGCACGCCUGCCUUUCUCUUGGAUGGUAGCAGCAUUAAUGUGUCCCUGAUCACAUUAACGAAAGAGGACUUGCAGAACUGCUUCAGAAAAUGGCAAGACCGAUGGGCUGUGUAUUUGAAGUGAGGGGAAGAAGUGCUUGAGGGGGAUUCGUGGCAAUGUGUCUUUUACUGUAAUAAAUUUUAAAAAUGUAGUCAUUCAUAUAUUUCAGGUACCAUAUGCGUGGUGCUGGAGAUGGAACCCACGCACUGGCAGGUGCAGUACCGCUGAGGUACAUCCUCUUCCCGCGAGGACAUUUUAGAUGAGCAUGUAGAGCAGUGGUCUUCAGAGUAAGGCACCGGGACCAGCAGCAUCGGUAUUGCUUGAACUGGGCGGAUGGACACUUGGGACUUGAGAACCACAGCGGAGGAGCUCAGCCUUCAUUAGGUAUCUGUUACCUGCUCUGGCUCUGGGCACCGGCUGCCCCUUCUUGGGAGGUCUUCCAGUGGGAGGAAACUUUGUCAGCCUCAUUGCUUUUCUAAAGAACCUGCCUGUUCUUUGUCCUGGAGUAGUGAGUUGGCGGAACCUCUGUUGGCUGAGUCCUCCCGGGAUUAAGUCCUGCCACCUUUAGACUGUGCGGAACAGGCGGCCCGGGCACGCACUGUGCCCUGGAGGGCUGCCGGGCCCACCGUGCCUUGUCUCCCUCUCCUCAUGCUUCAGUGGAAGGAGAAGACCUCUCCUGUUGGAAUAUGGUCCGGUUUUUAAGCGGGCCAGGACUGGAUUCAUCAUCACAGCAGGCCCUGCAAGGGUGCAGCCUUUCUGUGGACAAAGGGGUGAGCUCCUCGGAGAGGAGCUGCUGUGAUUUCUGUUGGAGGGAGCUAUGUAGACUCAGAUGGCGCCCACUGACCCAGUGCUGCUUGCCCUCUGUGGGGCCACUCUGGCUGACGAAGCCUGGGCGAUGCCAGCAGCCUCACUGUAUGUGAUGCUCGGAGCUCUUAGAGGGAGGCACCAUCAUUAACUUAUUUCCGGAAGGAGGGACCGGCCCCGAAGGCCCUCAUCUCCCGCGUCCUCCUCCUUAAUCUGCAGCUCCUGUGUUCGUGGAGCUCCUUCCUCCAUCUCAGCUGAAUGCUCUGGCUUCAGCAGUUGCCCCUCCUAUCCGGGAACUCGCCUUCCUUGGCUCACUGGAGAAGGGAGAUUGGGAAGAAUCCAAGGCCCCGCUGAGCUACAGAAGUGACUCAGCAGUUUCCUCACUGUCUUUCCAAGGACUCAGAAUGGCUUCAUCAGGCAAUCACCCUGGUGUGUUGUACACAGUAGAAUUUUAAUUCAAUCAACUCAACAACUUCAUACUGAAGAGAUUUUCAUCCCCUCAGACAGAGGAAGAAACCAAAGGUUGGAAGAGGUGACGGCGCCACACCUCACUGAGUUCGGCUCAGAUCCGACUGACGCAGGCCCAUUCACGCGUUCACUUUGCCCCACUCGGUGUUCAGUUUAGACGGAUGUGGAGACAAACCCCAGGGUCUACGCCGUCCCGUCAACAUCCGGGCCCCGCACGCCCUUGGAGAGAUGCGAGAAGAGGUGAAGCCUCUCCUCAGGGCUGUUCUGUGGAAACAUCUGGGUCCGAGUGAGGCCUAUGCCCAGUUAAUGGGAUCUAGAUCCUCAUUCUCCCUCUGUUUCUUUCUCCUGCACCCCUUAGGAUGACUCCACAUCCAGAAAUCCACAGCCUCUCUCGGGGCUCUGGAAGCUGUCCAACCGCCCUCCGCCCUCCGCCCUCCGCCCUCCGGAGGUCAGGCCAGAUGGACACUUCCGGGGCCCCCUAGCUGUGUGACAGCUUGCAUUAAGCGGUAGAGGGGCAGGCUGCACUCUAACUUCCUUUCUAACUCUUUCUCCGGGCACUGCCACCUCCUCCUUUUGGCCUGCUUUCUAAUGUCCCUAAGGCCUUUUCAAGUAGGGGGAGUGGAAGAACAGAGUGUGUGUGACCAAUCAAGAAAUGCCAUCCUCUAAUCAGGUCACCCAGGCUAACCCAGCUGGCUCUGAGCCUUUUGCCUGGGGACCUUUCUGUUUUGUAACAGAACAGCUAACCUCAAGCGAGGCCACUCUGUCCGAAUCUUUUGAUCUACAAUACACAGUAGUGAUCUCCCAGGAGCGUUCUGUCUUGCCGACAGGUCUCCAGAAGGGGGCACUGCAGUAAGAGUUCUAGGAAGAAGCCGGCGCUUUACCCAGGGGAUCAGCAAGGAGCCUCUCCCCUGCUUGCCUGCUUGGGUAACCAAGGACGAGUGCUUGCUGGGUGAUUUUCCUUGGGUAUAGAAGUAUCAGAAUUUUCUAGAUAUGGGGAGAAAAGAGCCUCAUAUAAUAUAUAGGAGAAUGCAGCAGUUAUUAUAGAAGACUCUUAUACAAAAAUGGUUUUACAUUUUUAUUUACCAGCCACAGUUAGAAAAUGACAACAAAAUUAAAGCUAAUAUAUACAGGAGAAAAGCUGUAAGGCACCAGAAACAAAUCUGAUUAAAUAUAUAUGAAAACUAACCAAAGAUUGAUAAGAAAAAGACAAACAACAAAUACAGUUAGGCAAAAGAUAUGAACAGGCAACAACUCAUAGACAGAAAUCUAAAAGACCAACAAAUACACAGAAUGUCAUACACUUUUACUAGCGGCCAGAGGAAUGUAAAUUAAAGCAAAGUGAGGGGCCCAGGAUUUAGCUCAGUGGCACUGAGCCUCCCUCACAAGUGCAAGGUCCUGAGUUCGAUCCCCGGUACUAGCACAAACAAACAACAAAACAAAUAAAUAAAGCCAAGUGAGAUACCAUUACAGAGCUGUAAGACUAGUAAAACCAAAAACAUUUGCCAAAGGAUCGGGGAAGAUCUUGCAGGUUGCGAACACAUGCGCUGUUGGUAAAAGUAUAAAUCAAUGGGGGUGUUUUGGGUAAUGUAGUAAUUACUUAGCGAAGCUACUUACCCAUCACUCCACUGAACAGAUUCUCUUAUGUGGGCCUAAGGGUAUGAUGAAGACUGUAUGAUGCAAUUGUUUGAAAGAAGAAAAGAAUCCCAAACAACCUCAGUGUCUACCAAGAGAAAAAUUGGAUGCAUUGUGAAACAGACAUGCAACAGAAUAUCAUGCAGCUGUGAAAAUGAACAAAGCAGAGCAAAAAUUUCCAAGUAGGAAGUGACCAGCUGACAUUUGGCUAUGGCAAAAUAUAUUUAUAUCUAUCUAUCUAUAUCUAUCUAUA
Long non-coding RNA from Fukomys damarensis (Damara mole-rat), 3491 nucleotides. RefSeq lists it as uncharacterized. NCBI's taxonomy places the organism in Eukaryota, Metazoa, Chordata, Mammalia, Rodentia, Bathyergidae. The transcript is spliced from 3 exons. The record is from RefSeq and is a predicted model, not a curated record.